CAUGUCUCAGUACACGCCGUAUUAAGGUGAAACCGCGAAUGGCUCAUUAAAUCAGUUAUGGUUCCUUAGAUUGUACACACAUUUACUUGGAUAACUGUGGUAAUUCUAGAGCUAAUACAUGCAAACCAGAGUUCCAACCAGAGAUGGAAGGAACGCUUUUAUUAGAUCAAAACCAAUCGGUGGCSRGUKUCUUGKACAUUCGUUCAUCGYUUACYUUGGUGACUCUGAAUAACYUUGUGCUGAUCGCAUGGUCUCGUACCGGCGACGAAUCUUUCMAAUGUCUGCCUUAUCAACUUACGAUGKUAGGUUUUGCGCCUACCAUKGUUGUAACGGGUAACSGGGAWUCARGGUUCGAUUCCSGAGAGGGAGCCUGAGAAWCGGCUACCCACAUCCAAGGAWGGCAGCAGGCGCGCAAAUUACCCACUCCCCAGUACGGGGAGGUAGUGACGAAAAAUAACGAUACCGGGACUCAUCCGAGGCCCCGUAAUCGGAAUGAGUACACUUUAAAUCCUUUAACCGAGGAUCCAUUGGAGGGCAAGUCUGGUGCCAGCAGCCGCGGUAAUUCCAGCUCCAAUAGCGUAUAUUAAAGUUGUUGCGGUUAAAAAGCUCGUAGUUGAAUCUGUGUGCCACGCUGUCGGUUCACCGCUCGCGGUGUUUAACUGGCAUGAUUGUGGGACGUCCUACCGGUGGGCUUAGCUGUGUGCAAACAUGGCGGUCCAACUAAUAUCCUAUCGCGGUGCUCUUGAUUGAGUGUCGAGGUGGGCCGGUACGUUUACUUUGAACAAAUUAGAGUGCUUAAAGCAGGCUAUUUUUGCCUGAAUACUGUGUGCAUGGAAUAAUAGAAUAGGACCUUGGUUCUAUUUUGUUGGUUUUCGGAACUCCGAGGUAAUGAUUAAUAGGGACAGAUGGGGGCAUUCGUAUUGCGACGUUAGAGGUGAAAUUCUUGGAUCGUCGCAAGACGAACAGAAGCGAAAGCAUUUGCCAAAAAUGUUUUCAUUAAUCAAGAACGAAAGUUAGAGGUUCGAAGGCGAUCAGAUACCGCCCUAGUUCUAACCAUAAACGAUGCCAGCUAGCGAUCCGCCAAAGUUCCUCCGAUGACUUGGCGGGCAGCUUCCGGGAAACCAAAGCUUUUGGGUUCCGGGGGAAGUAUGGUUGCAAAGCUGAAACUUAAAGGAAUUGACGGAAGGGCACCACCAGGAGUGGAGCCUGCGGCUUAAUUUGACUCAACACGGGAAACCUCACCAGGCCCGGACACCGGAAGGAUUGACAGAUUGAUAGCUCUUUCUUGAUUCGGUGGGUGGUGGUGCAUGGCCGUUCU
This 1318-nucleotide ribosomal RNA is filed under the name Macrocentrus melanogaster. RNAcentral describes it as "SSU rRNA". It matches the Rfam family "Eukaryotic small subunit ribosomal RNA", at positions 54 to 1305 of the family's 1831-position model. Lineage: Eukaryota; Metazoa; Arthropoda; Insecta; Hymenoptera; Braconidae. The record is from RNAcentral.